This is a long non-coding RNA of Mercurialis annua (annual mercury), 542 nucleotides long. RefSeq lists it as uncharacterized. The record is from RefSeq and is a predicted model, not a curated record. Lineage: Eukaryota; Viridiplantae; Streptophyta; Magnoliopsida; Malpighiales; Euphorbiaceae. The transcript is spliced from 2 exons.
CCCAAAUUGAAAUUACUUUUCUCAGUUCAAAUAUUAAAUCAAAACUCUCAUAUCAAGCAAUCUUCUUCUUCUUCUUUUUGUCCAAUUUUUUCUAUAUCAGUAUAAUUUCUCAAAUUCUCGUUGAAAUAGCUUCCCUAAAAUCGAUUUGAUUUCUAGAACAAGCUCUUAGAUCUACCAUUGGCAGCUCCUAGGACGACUACCUUACAAUCGGUGACAGACUUAAAGAGUAACCACGGUGGAGGAAGUGUCAAGAUGAGAAAUAGAAUCAAUAGCGGUUAUCAUCAAUUAUAAUGAAAAAAUCAGAUUAUUUUGCCACCUUAUGGGGAAAUUACUUCAGGAAGUCCUAAAAAAGAAGAUACAAGGCAUCAUGGGAGAAAAAGACAUCAGUAAUAUGCAAGGUGUAGAAAACAGGGGCAUAACAAUAAGAGUUGUAGAAAUUUGCUAAAGAAAAACAUGUAAUAGCUUGACAUUACUGCUCAAAGUGUUUGUUAUACCUUAUAUACACUUUAUGUAUAUUAUUCACAUGCCUUUUAGUUUUCUAA